RNAcentral lists this small nuclear RNA (110 nucleotides) under Catagonus wagneri (Chacoan peccary). Lineage: Eukaryota; Metazoa; Chordata; Mammalia; Artiodactyla; Tayassuidae. The record is from RNAcentral.
GCACUCACCACUUUGGCAGCACCUAUACGAAAAUUGUCAUGAUACAGAAAUGAUUAGCAUGGUCCCUGCAGAAGGAUGACAUGCAAAUUCAUGAAGUCACAUAAUUUUUU